This 269-nucleotide unclassified non-coding RNA is filed under the name fungal sp. Its description in RNAcentral is "partial internal transcribed spacer region". The stretch from base 1 to 46 matches the Rfam family "Eukaryotic small subunit ribosomal RNA", at positions 1786 to 1831 of the family's 1831-position model. The record is from RNAcentral. Lineage: Eukaryota; Fungi.
AAGUCGUAACAAGGUUUCCGUAGGUGAACCUGCGGAAGGAUCAUUCUUGUAUUAUCUAGUAAUUUAUUGCUCAGGCAAUUUACUUUCUACUAUGUGAACAGUGGUGUAUUUACUUGAUUGCAACAAUGCAAAUAUUUUUUGUGUUGAUUGUGAUUGGGAAAAAUUCAAAACAAAUUUAACAUGAAUACUAUUAUAUAUUUACAAUUGUCUUAACAUAACAACAACAACAAUUAAAAAUACAACUUUUAGCAACGGAUCUCUAGGCUCUC